GAACUCUUGAUUUCUCUAUUUCAAGAGUCCCAUAGGAAUGUCCAGACAAGCUUAUGUAGAUAUCCUUCUUACAGGAACAAUGGACAAUACUGGAGCCAGGAUCUGUCUACAGUAUUCACAUUAAGUUGGCAGGUUUUGUGGAUUGAAGAGUACAGAUGUGUGCAGCAACAGUUUUGUCAGGCGCAGCAGUUAUAAGUCAUGUUCUGGCUUUGCAUCCUAGAAUUGAUAUCAAGUUUUCAUACAUAUUUGUUCCAUAUGAGACUUCCAAAAAAAUUCAGGAGUGCCAGUUCCAAGGGAGAUGAAGGAGUCCUGUGGGUGAUCAUGUUGACAGGAGGACUAACAAGAUCAUAGCCAGAGACUAUGCAUCACAUGCUGCCUUUGAAUUCAUGGCAAAAUAGAACGUCUGCAUUAAAGGAUCAACAUCUUCCAUUAAACUCCUGUGAUGUCACAACAAACUAGGACUGAAGAUCAGGGACCAGUUUGACAGGCUUUCAAAUGGACCUCCUGGAUAUGGGGAUAUAACGCAAUAGACAAGAAGGGAAUGAAAGACAGAGAGAAAAGACAAUGCUUGGAAAUAAAAAUGGUGGUGCCUUGAGGGAAGAGCAAUUGAGUAUAACUGGGUAAAUGACACAAUGGAAUUGUGCUGCUAAUUUUCCCCUGCUACACAUAUAAAUUAUGCAGAGAAUAUUGGAUUGAUAACUUCUCUGCAGUGAAAACUGCCUAUUUGCUUUCAGGGCCUGGCAGAGGUGAGAGCAGUGGUGAGAGGAAUUAGCACACAAAAAAGGAAUAAGAGACAUACAAAAUUACGUAUGACACAGAGGAUCCUGGAAAACUGUGAAAUGUACACAUGCAUCCUGAGAGUCAAAUUAGGGAAGAUACACAUUUCAUUUAACCUGAAAUUUGGGCUACCAGGUUGGCAGAUAUAAGAAGAAGCGCCUUAAAUAGUUAACAGCUUCAGCUAAUUGCUGGUUCAUAAUGAAGUUAAUAGCUCCUAGUUGAUGUUUUCUUUGCAAGCUUUAAUAAGGCUUACUUAAAACCUCUACUUUUUCUUUAAAAAGUUGCCAGCUAUGCGUAAGAAAGGCAAUAAUGUACAGAACACUGGCAAAUAAAUGUCUUCGAGACUUAUGUGGCCUCUUGACAGUAGCUUUGACAUAUAUUUUUCAUGUUUUAGAAUGAUAAAUGCAACAUCUUGGAGCAUAAUUUGCCAGAAAAAAAAAAAAGAGAAGACAGAUGGGGAAAGCAAAAUGUCCAAGAAAACUGCUUGUCUAAGGUUACUGCUAGGUUUUUUACUUUUUACAAAACUUUGGUUUGGUUCAUGCUCCCUAGUUGCUUUUUCUUAUUGGAAGUAGAGGUUUGUAUUAAACAUUGAGAACAUUAUAAACAUAUCACAAAAGAGGCUAUGAUUUCCUGAAAGUGAUUCUUUAUAGAAAAACAUUUGAUAACUACUAUUUAUAAAGGAGCAGGCUCUGUUACUUCUAUCCAGAAGAAGAUAAUGAGAACUAAAACUCUAAGACACUUGUUCAGGGAGCAGUAGUCUGAUUCAGGCUUCACUGGGCUAAAAUCUAUGUGUCAGGAGGGCUACAGCACCUUUCUGGACGGUAUAGGGAAGAAUCUGUGUUCUUGCCUUUCCAACUUCUAGAGAUUGCCAAUAUUUCUUGGCUCAUGGCUCACUCCCAUCUUCUAAACCAGCCAUGAUAGGUUGAGUCUUUUGCACAAGGAAUUGCUCCAACUCCUUCUCUGUCCCUCUUUUCCACUUUUAAGAAUCCUUGUAGUUACAUUGGCCCCAGCAGAUAAUCCAGAGUAACUUCCUUAUUCUAAGAUAGGUUAAUUAUCCAUUUUAAUUCCAUCUUCAACCUAAGUCUUUCUUGAUAUGUGAGGUAACAUAUUCAA
Callithrix jacchus (white-tufted-ear marmoset) is the source of this 1890-nucleotide long non-coding RNA. RefSeq lists it as uncharacterized. The record is from RefSeq and is a predicted model, not a curated record. NCBI's taxonomy places the organism in Eukaryota, Metazoa, Chordata, Mammalia, Primates, Cebidae.